This is a long non-coding RNA of Uranotaenia lowii, 343 nucleotides long. RefSeq lists it as uncharacterized. The record is from RefSeq and is a predicted model, not a curated record. NCBI's taxonomy places the organism in Eukaryota, Metazoa, Arthropoda, Insecta, Diptera, Culicidae. The transcript is spliced from 2 exons.
AGUUUAACUCUUGCAGAGAACUGUCUCAGUUGAACAACAAUCGUAAAAAGUUAUCAAAAAUGAAAUUUCUCUACGCAGCUGCUGUCGCCAUGUUUGUUCUGGUUGCCGUCACUGAAAAGUUCAAGUGGUUCAGAACAUACAGAUAUUAGUAAAAUGUAUAACAGCUUUGCGGUCGUCCCGGGAUCGAAACAGUUUUUCAGGACCUAAGGAAAAACUUCCAACGGAUGUUGCCUCGUGAAGAGUUGUGUAACGUGAAGAACAAUUUUUCACCGAAUUAAAUUAAUUAUGAAAAAUUAUUCGGAGUUGUUUCUGUUAAAUAAAAUCAUGGAUUGAUCGGAAAAAA